CCUACGGGUGGCAGCAGUGGGGGAUAUUGCACAAUGGGGGAAACCCUGAUGCAGCGACGCCGCGUGUGGGAAGACGGUCCUCUGGAUUGUAAACCACUGUCCCCAGGGACGAAGAUGACGGUACCGGGGGAGGAAGCGCCGGCUAACUACGUGCCAGCAGCCGCGGUAAUACGUAGGGAGCGAGCGUGGUCCGGAAUUACUGGGUGUAAAGGGAGCGUAGGCGGGACUGCAAGUUGGGUGUCAAAUCUACCGGCUCAACCGGGAGCCGCACUCCAAACUGCAGUUCUUGAGUGAAGUAGAGGCAGGCGGACUUCCUCGUGUAGCGGUGCACUGCGUAGAUAUUAGGAGGAACACCAGUGGCGAAGGCGGCCUGCUGGGCUUUUCCUGACGCUGAGGCUCGAAAGUGUGGGGAGCAAACAGGAUUAGAUACCCUUGUAGUC
RNAcentral lists this ribosomal RNA (440 nucleotides) under uncultured bacterium. RNAcentral's name for it is "partial 16S ribosomal RNA". It matches the Rfam family "Bacterial small subunit ribosomal RNA", at positions 338 to 795 of the family's 1533-position model. The record is from RNAcentral.